CACUCUUUCGAGAGCGCUCAGGUGGCCACGCGCCCCCUCUAACGGUACUACGGAAUACCGCUUCCAAAAUAAGAUGCGGCUCAUAUUCCAGCGGUGGUUUACCACGGGCUGUUGAUACAAUGUGAUUGUAUAAAGCGUAUUUGUUAACCGUUUUUUAAUACGGUGGCGUUUGGCCACCCUCUUGCCUGAUGGUUAGCCAUAAUGAUGUGGCCAACGAUGGUGGCUGGAGCAUGCCUACCUAUCAACAACCUGUUCAUUCGAGACUUGACGACAUUGAUAAGGAAUUUAACUCCGAAGUGGAAGGAAUUGCCGAAGCGCCGCCGACCUUAACAGGAAAAAGUUUUCGAAGAUGAAAAUAAAGUAGGGAGGCUGCUUCGUUGGUUGAAUAGUUCCAGGCUCGUCUGUUGGUCCAAAGGCGUAGCGUAGCUUGACGGGGUCCCGUAUAAAAAUUUGUUUGGGGGCCCUUACGAAAGGUAAAACAUUCUUCGAAGAAUUUUUUUUUACAUAAAAUAGGUACCUCCUCUGCCCAAAUUAUCAGACAAUGAUUAGGUACUUUAGUUUUUCCAAAAUUUCUGCCAUGGAAAAGAUUUCUCUAUUUCACGGUUUCUGCCAACCUUUAAACGCAUGUAUUUUAUGAUUACUAAAAUAAAAUAUAAAUUGAAAAGUUUUUAUAUUUUUCUUACACAAUACAACAUAACACACAUAUAAUUGAUACGGCAGAUACGGCGCUAGCUACGCCCCUGUGUUGGUCGUAGUUUACCUGGACU
This is a non-coding RNA of Spodoptera litura, 767 nucleotides long. The record is from RefSeq and is a predicted model, not a curated record. Lineage: Eukaryota; Metazoa; Arthropoda; Insecta; Lepidoptera; Noctuidae.